GGCAGUGUGGCCUAGUGGAUGGAGCCAUCCCUGUGACUUGGGAGACCUGGGUUCUAAUCCCAGCUCUACCG
RNAcentral lists this transfer RNA (71 nucleotides) under Chelonia mydas (Green sea turtle). It matches the Rfam family "tRNA". From Rfam's summary of the family: Transfer RNA (tRNA) molecules are approximately 80 nucleotides in length. Their secondary structure includes four short double-helical elements and three loops (D, anti-codon, and T loops). Lineage: Eukaryota; Metazoa; Chordata; Testudines; Cheloniidae. The record is from Rfam by way of RNAcentral.